GAUGAACGCUGGCGGCGUGCCUAAUACAUGCAAGUCGAGCGAACAGACGAGGAGCUUGCUCCUCUGACGUUAGCGGCGGACGGGUGAGUAACACGUGGGUAACCUACCUAUAAGACUGGGAUAACUUCGGGAAACCGGAGCUAAUACCGGAUAACAUAUUGAACCGCAUGGUUCUAUAGUGAAAGACGGUUUUGCUAUCACUUAUAGAUGGACCCGCGCCGCAUUAGCUAGUUGGUAAGGUAACGGCUUACCAAGGCAACGAUGCGUAGCCGACCUGAGAGGGUGAUCGGCCACACUGGAACUGAGACACGGUCCAGACUCCUACGGGAGGCAGCAGUAGGGAAUCUUCCGCAAUAGGCGAAAGCCUGACGGAGCAACGCCGCGUGAGUGAUGAAGGUCUUCGGAUCGUAAAACUCUGUUAUUAGGGAAGAACAAAUGUGUAAGUAACUAUGCACGUCUUGACGGUACCUAAUCAGAAAGCCACGGCUAACUACGUG
RNAcentral lists this ribosomal RNA (497 nucleotides) under uncultured bacterium. RNAcentral describes it as "partial 16S ribosomal RNA". It matches the Rfam family "Bacterial small subunit ribosomal RNA", at positions 28 to 507 of the family's 1533-position model. The record is from RNAcentral.